GUGACUCAUUGUGUCUGUGUCGAGGCGUCGGGAGGGCCUAAGUCCGUGUGCGGUGCCCUUCGGCCGGCCUGAGCCCCAGAGUCAGCUCCCCUUUCUCGCCCAGCGCCCCCAGGCCGCUCCCGGGGCUCACGGAAUAGUAAAGAAACACAUCAUAAAACCUCCCAGGACAUAAAGGUGAGCACAGACCCUGUUUGGAUCAAGUCAGUUCCUGGAGCCUGAAUGAUGACUGCUGAAUCACGGGAAGCCACGGGUCUGUCCCCACAGGCUGCACAGGAGAAGGAUGGUAUCGUAAUAGUGAAGGUGGAAGAGGAAGAUGAGGAAGACCACAUGUGGGGGCAGGAUUCCACCCUACAGGACACGCCUCCUCCAGACCCAGAGAUAUUCCGCCAACGCUUCAGGCGCUUCUGUUACCAGAACACUUUUGGGCCCCGAGAGGCUCUCAGUCGGCUGAAGGAACUUUGUCAUCAGUGGCUGCGGCCAGAAAUAAACACCAAGGAACAGAUCCUGGAGCUUCUGGUGCUAGAGCAGUUUCUUUCCAUCCUGCCCAAGGAGCUCCAGGUCUGGCUGCAGGAAUACCGCCCCGAUAGUGGAGAGGAGGCCGUGACCCUUCUAGAAGACUUGGAGCUUGAUUUAUCAGGACAACAGGUCCCAGGUCAAGUUCAUGGACCUGAGAUGCUCGCAAGGGGGAUGGUGCCUCUGGAUCCAGUUCAGGAGUCCUCGAGCUUUGACCUUCAUCACGAGGCCACCCAGUCCCACUUCAAACAUUCGUCUCGGAAACCCCGCCUCUUACAGUCACGAGCUCUUCCUGCUGCCCACAUUCCUGCACCCCCUCAUGAGGGUAGUCCCAGAGACCAGGCGAUGGCAUCUGCACUAUUCACAGCGGAUUCCCAGGCAAUGGUGAAGAUCGAGGACAUGGCUGUGUCCCUCAUUCUGGAGGAAUGGGGAUGUCAGAAUCUGGCUCGGAGGAAUCUCAGUAGGGACAACAGGCAGGAGAAUUAUGGGAGCGCAUUUCCCCAGGUGUGAUUCCAAUACACUGCUUUGUGUAAUUCCACGAACUUGCACCUGGACUGUCCUUGUGAUGAGGAUUCCCAGCUUCCAAACUUAAUGGUGAUUUUCUAUGAAGAGCUCUGGGUCCUGGAUGUGUAGUAAGAACGAGGAAGUUCAAGAGGCAUCAGCCAGAUAAGACAAGGUGACACUGUUGGCAGACAUUUCCAUUUGUCUCUGCUGGAUCUUAACCCCUCAGGACAGUGCUGCAAAGAAGCCCUCACGUGGUGAAAACAGGAAUGAGAACGAGGAGUCAACCUCAAAGGCUGAAACCUCGGAAGAUUCAGCAUCACGCGGGGAGACAACAGGAAGAUCCCAGAAAGAGUUUGGAGAGAAACGUGACCAGGAGGGCAAAACAGGAGAAAGACAGCAGAAAAACCCUGAGGAGAAAACCAGGAAAGAGAAAAGAGAUUCAGGGCCAGCUAUAGGAAAGGACAAAAAAACCAUCACAGGAGAGAGAGGUCCAAGGGAGAAGGGGAAAGGAUUGGGAAGAAGCUUCAGUCUGAGCUCCAACUUCACCACCCCUGAAGAAGUUCCCACGGGAACAAAGUCUCACAGAUGUGAUGAAUGUGGUAAAUGCUUCACGAGAAGUUCAAGCCUUAUCCGCCAUAAAAUAAUCCACACUGGAGAAAAGCCCUAUGAAUGUAGUGAGUGUGGGAAAGCCUUCAGUCUUAACUCCAACCUUGUCCUGCAUCAGAGGAUCCACACAGGAGAGAAACCUCAUGAAUGUAACGAGUGUGGCAAGGCCUUCAGCCACAGUUCCAAUCUCAUCCUCCAUCAGCGCAUCCACUCUGGAGAGAAACCUUAUGAAUGUAAUGAGUGCGGGAAGGCCUUCAGCCAGAGCUCGGACCUCACCAAGCAUCAGAGAAUUCACACGGGGGAGAAACCCUAUGAAUGUAGUGAAUGUGGAAAAGCUUUCAACCGAAACUCAUACCUGAUUUUGCAUCGGAGAAUUCACACUCGAGAAAAGCCCUACAAGUGCACUAAGUGUGGCAAGGCCUUCACCCGCAGCUCCACCCUCACUCUGCAUCACAGAAUCCAUGCCAGAGAGAGAGCCUCUGAGUACAGCCCAGCCUCCCUUGAUGCAUUUGGCGCGUUCCUGAAAAGUUGUGUGUAAAGGAAGAAUUUGCCAUCAAGCCAUUUCCCCCUUUUGUUUCUAAAAUUAUUUCAGAGAUGUGUGCUCCUGGAGGGAAAAAGAAAUACAGCCUCAACAGAUUAAAAAACAAAAGUCACACUUAAGGAUCCUUCUAGUCACAUCAGCAGUGUUCUGCCUUUAUGUAGUAGUUGGGCAUAUAAUCCUUCCACACAGCCCCUGCAGGGAAAGGCUAAUCUUACGGAUAAUCCACGUGAGAUUUCCACACAAGAGAAAAGCACACGCAUAGUGAAAUGUCAGUCUUUUCAGUAAUGAGGAUACCUUUAAGGCACUCUUGGACUCUCGGCAACCACAACAUAAUAGUUGAAAGAUCAAGAUUGGCUCCACGAAAGUGAUACGGAGGUUAGGAUGCUACUUGCUGCAAACAAGCCCUACUUUGGCCAACAUCCUGCUUAUUUCUCAAAAAAGAGGGACAGUGAAAACAAAAACGACAUUGGGACAUGCUGCUCAAGGUAGUUAUAUAUACGAUAAGUUGUAUAUAUGAUCACUGGUAGCCUACCAAAGCUGUAGAAAUCUAGGACUGUGCUAAUCAGUAUCAAACCAAAGAUUUCUAUCUCUUCCCGAAAGAGAGGGUAUGUGCACCAGUCUACAGUUCCAAAGGACUGCAACAAAUGUAGAUGGUUCUGUCCUCAUCCCUGAGAUCAGUUCUACUGAAAUGGCAACAACAACUCCAAAUACAUCUCUCCCUUCUUGAAAUCCCUAAAGCACUAUCGCACUCCUAAAUGCAUUUCUCCACAAGUUAGCACUUGAUUGUAUACUGUCUUUUAAUCCUUCAUUGUUUCAUGUAUGAAGUUUUUAAUCACCCCCUAACCCCCAAAAAAGAUUCGGUUGUCAAGGGAUAUAUUUCUAUCCCUGCCAGCACAGUGCUGGACAUAGUGAGUACUGAACACCUAAGAGGCACUCAUUCAGACUGACUUCUACAGGACUUCUACGUGUGUGAUAAAAGCCUGUGAAUCGUGAGUCCCUGAAAUAUGGUAGCCUGGCCCAGCUUCUAAAGAGGACCUUCGUAGCCACAAGGCAUGCUAAACCUCUAGGGUCUGAUGCUGUUUUUGUUCCAAAUAUAAACGAAAGGCACUAGUCAGCCGCCUGCAUAGACUUUCUAAACAGUGAGUAAAUACCAUGGAAUGUCAGAAAUGACUUUAUCAUCGUCAUCUUGAAGAAAAAUAUGAACACUGAUGAAGGUCAUUUUUUUUUUUUGACAUCUUUCUGUGGCAAAGCUCUUAGAAUUCUUUGCAGUUAGCUGCUGAACAGUAUGAUGAUUUGGGGAUUUUCUGAAUCAUUUGUACUUAGAUACUGGAGUUCAGAAGAUGUGAUUUUUGUUGCUUUUCAGAAAAAGGAACGUGGUAGGGAGUGUUUUUUCCCACGCUUUUCCAGUAACUUUGCAAAAGCAUUAAUUGUUCACUGGCAAUUACUAAAUGUAUUUUGUUGCUCUGAGAAACUCAGCAGUGUACUGAGAUGUGGCUGGCUGUGCCAUCGUCAUAGUGCACAGUGACUUUUCUGUUUCUUAUCACUAAAGACUGAGGUGAGGUUAUGAAACUUUCAUUGGUCCCAUCGUUGUGCGCAGGGUGCAACUGGCUACCUAGAAGCUGAUGGCAGGAGACUGUUUCACACACAGGAGAUUGUGAGCUGUGUAAGUAGUCAUCGCCACUCAAGUAGGACAAGGGUCCUACCCAAGGCUAGGACCGCCCUGCGGAAACAGAAACAUAGACUGAGAACAAACCUCAAGACUAUCAGUGUGACCUCCCCAUAACAAGAGAACCCCAUAUAUAGUUUGAGACUUUCCCUUGAGAAACUUAUACUAAAACUAUUACUCAUCAGUCAUUCACUGAUCAGCAGCUAAAGUCCAUGAGACCAAAUGGUUUUAUAUGGAACCAACGAAGUGGGAGCUAAAACUGCACAGUGGUCAUUCUUUGGCCUCUCCUUGGCUUUAUGACUUAAACCAACUACAACUUCCCUAUAGCUUCUAAGCAGUUUCAUCAGCAUUACUUGGGAAAACGUGUUGCAAGUCAACCAGUCACUAGGAUAUUUCUACCCAUGCAACGGAAGAAAAACCCAUUACUCCAGAAGAGUAUAUCUAAGUAACUAAAAUGGAGGCAGAAAAUGUUUUAAGGAUUUUCUUCAAAGAAUAAGCCACAGCAAUGGUUUUGUAGAAAACUCCUGUGCUUUUGAGCAAGGACUUUUGCCCUCUAGAAAGCAACUGAGGCCAGGUGCGGUGGCUCACGCCUGUAAUCCCAGCACUUUGGGAGGCCGAGGUGAGCGGAUCACCUGAGGUCAGGAGUUUUGAGACCAGCCUGGCCAACAUGGUAAAAUCCCGUCUCUACUAAAAUUAUAAAAAUUAGCCGGGCAUGAUGGUGGGCACCUGUAAUCCCAGCUACUUGGGAGGCUGAGGCAGGAGAAUCACUUGAACCCAGGAGGCAGAGGUUGCAGUGAGCCAAGAUUGCACACUGCACUCCAGCCUGGGUGACUAGCAAAACUCCAUCUCAAAAAAAAAAAAAAGAAAGAAAGAAACUGAAAAGUGAGGUGUGGAACUCCAGGCAACGACCCAAGCACUUAUUUUUUAAGAGGGAAAGGACUUUGGUCAUGUUUACAUUGGCCUUUGGUUUUUUUUUUUCUUUCAGCCACAACUAUAUGCUGAUAUAACUCAGCCAUCACUUUUGAGUUUUGUUUUUAAAUGAAGGUUAAAUGUGACCUGUGCCCUCACAUUUAAUUCCGUUUCAUGGAGACAUCUUCCUGACUUUGUUGGAUAGCUGCCACUAGGGUUGCUUCGAUCUUCAGCCACAUGCUGUCCUUGAAGCAGCUAUUUGAAGAUGUGUUUUCUGAGGAAAACAGGCUACAACUGUUUAUUAAAACCACUUGCAGUGCAUUCGUUUAUCAGAUGCUCAGUGCAAAGUGUAAUUGGGUCAUGGUCAAAAACGCUUGCAACAUCUAAUUGGCGUUCAAGAUAGUCAUUCAAAAGUUCUUGGCCCGCUGAAGUCUGUUAACAGUUGAAACAUUCUACAGUUAACCAUUAGCAUGCUAGUUGUCCUAAUGGAAAUUUUUGAAGAGUUUUUCAAUAUAUACCCUACCCUUGCCAGGAAGAGAAGUAAAAUCCUCAGGUUGUGGGGUAUUUGUUUCUACUCCAGCCUGGCAGGCAAGGCUAAAACCUGAGAUUAUCGAUCUAUGAGACAUCUUGAUAUGUAAAGCACUUAAUAUUAAAGGCAUAAAAGUGAAACUGCUAAAUAUGUAUAGAGAGGUUGACGUGUGAUACGUGGGACAGUUCACAUAGACAUCAGAGAAUUUAUUCCAGAAAGGAGCCUCCUGAAUGUGAUGAAUACGGCAAAGCCUUUAAUCACAUCUCAGCCCUUAGCAUCGGAAAGCUUAUACUGUAAAUAAACUUGAUGAAUAUUAUAUGUGAGGAAAACUUUCAUGUAUAGCACUCAUUGCUUCAGACAGAAAAUGAAUUCCGUCGGUAUGUUCCAAUCGUGAUGAAUUUGAGAAACAUUGCAAGAGGGAGCUCAAUCUUGGCCGGGCGCCGUGGCUCACGCCUGUAAUCGCAGCACUUUGGGAGGCCGAGGCAGGCGGAUCACGAGGUCAGUAGUUCGAGACCAGCCUGGCCAACAUGGUGAAACCUUGUCUCUACUAAAAAUACAAAAAAAAAUUAGCUGGGCACAGUGGCGCACGCCUGUAGUCCCAGCUACUCGGGAGGCUGAGGCAGGAGAAUGGCUUGAACCUGCGAGGCGGAGGUUGCAGUGAGCUAAGAUCAUGCCACUGGCACUCCAGCCUUGAGUGACAGAGCGAGGCUCUGUAUCAAAAAAAAAAGUUGCGGGGGGGUGCUCAAUCUUAACUGCAGAGGAUCUACAGAUGAAAAAAAAUGUGGGGAAAUGCUUUAAAAAAAUAGCAAAAUGUGCAACUUCUUACAAAAAUUGUUAACGUUAGGUACUUCUAUAUAUUUUAUAUGACCAUAAUGUCCGUGUGUGUUUUGUACCUUCAGUCCCUUGUUAUUGUUCCGUAUAUUACCUGUAAGCAGAUACUGUAUUUUAUUUUAGCCUAUUUGACAGAACACAUCACUCAGAAAAAGUGAAGUUUCAGAGCAAACAGUGAAGAAAUCAGUGUGAUUGUAGACAAAAAGUCGGUUCACAGAACGGAGCAGCGGGGAGAGGAAGGGAAAAGCUUCAUAGUUUGGUGCUUAUCACAUCAAGAGAUUGGUAAAUUUCUGAGGAAAGACAGGCUAAUGGGGCACUGAAAUGGAACAACUCCUUUAAACGUGCAGCCUUUUGAAUUUUUCCUCAAAACCAAGAAGUUGACCUCUGAGCUGUCAGGUGACCACUGUGUGCAAAGGGGAUGGAUUCUCUUGUCAGUAGACGGUCUUCUCCAUGAAGCGAGAGUAGGAAGUGUACUGGAAUGGCCAAGUGGGACUGCUUCAGCUGACCAGGUUCUUUUAAACCGUAGUCAUGCUUUCCCACUAACUCUUAAAUCCUUAUGCUUAGAAAAUUGAGGAUAAGGCUGGGCACAGUGGCUCAGGCCUGUAAUCCCAGCACUUUGGGAGACCAAGGCGGGUGGAUCACAAGGUCAGGAGAUCGAGACCAUCCUGGCUAACAUGGCGAAACCCCGUCUCUACUAAAAAUACAAAAAAAUAGCUGGGCGUGGUGGCGGGCGCCUGUAGUCCCAGCUACUCAGGAGGCUGAGGCAGGAGGAUCACUUGAACAUGGGAGGCGGAGGUUGCAGUGAGCCAAGAUGGCGCCACUGCACUCCAGCCUGGGUGAUGGCGUGAGACUCCAUGUCAAAAAAAAAAAAAAGGUUGGGGGGAGGAUAGGACUGGCCAGGCACGGUGGCUCACUCCUGUAAUCUCAGCACUUUGGGAGGCAGAGGUGGGCGGAUCACUUGAGGUCAGGAGUUUGAGACCAGCCUGGCCAACGUGGUGAAAGCCUGUCUCUACUAAAAAUACAAAAAUUAGCCGGGCGUGGUGGUGGGCGCCUGUAGUCCCAGCUACUCAGGAGGCUGAGGCAGGAGAAUCACCUAAAUCUGGGAGGCAGAGGUUGCAGUGAGCCGAGAUUGCACCACUGCACUCCAGCCUGGGUAACAGAGACUCUGUCUCAAAAAAAGAAAAAAAAAAAAGAAAGAAAGAAAGAAAAUUGGGGAUAGGAGAACAGCAAGGUGGGCAUUUCCCGGAAUUGUGUGCAGAUGCAUCCAGUCGUGGCAUUGCAAGAAGUCUGUCUGAUGAAGCUCGGGAAGCAUUUUGCAAUAUUCCCUUUGGCUGUGUUCCUGUGUUCCCUGCUCCCACUUUUCUUCCCCUGGUUUGUGAUUAUUAGGAGAGAGGUUUUGCAAAGACUCGUUGCUGUGAAAGAAUCUUUUUUUAAUUUUUAUCCUAGAGUCAGUCACUUUUAUUCCAGGUAGUCAUGCUGAUCUGCUUAUCCAAAGCCAGCUAACCAGGUUCAUCCUACCAUCCUCAUGGAAGACUGUGUGUAUGAAUUGGAGUAACAGAACUGAAAUACACUUAAACAGUGACAGCAGUACUUCCCAGGGUGGGGGCCAUAUUUCUCUGUGUCCUACUCUGAGCAACUUCUCAGAGAUACGAGGGGGCUAGGGUUUUCCCAUCUGGGAAAUGGGGUGAAAGUCUGCAGAUUGUUAAAUGAAAUAUAGAAUCAGAGAAAAAGAAAAGUCAGUGAUAUAAAUAGAUCAUUUCAUAGAAAUUAGGGUAGAUUUUUAUUUCAACUACUACUGGAGAAUUUAAUAAAAGGCAUUAUUUGAAAAGUUUUUCUAACAUAGAUUUAGGGUUUUUUUUUUUAGAGUGGACACACUACAUUUAAAAGCAAUUAUUUUGCUAUUCAGAUUUUUUAUUAUCUGAAAAUGAAAUUAUCUGUUUUACUUUUCAAAGCUUUGUGAAACAAACUUGAAGUUAUAGGGAGGUAAGCCAUCUCCAACUCUGCAGGUCAAACGAAAGUUUGGGAAAUACUUUUGACAUCCCACAAUACAGAAUGUCUUAACAUGAGAAUUGAAUUUCAUGAUGUGUGGUUCCAUUUAAUAGCGGACACCACCCCAAUCUCAUGUUUUCCUGUUACCCUAAAACAGUGGAAGGAAACUGGGUGUUUGGUAGACUUCUAAAUCAUGGUCUCUGACAAUUUGAAUCUGAGAUUCUCACCUCCAUUUACUAAAGAAUCGUGACUUAAUUCAAAUUGCACAGUAAUCAGUAAAGUGAAUACGUUUUUAAAAUGGAAUUUUCUCCCUUCAGCAAGCACUCAUUAAGGAGUGAGGCUGAGUAUUUUAAGAUAGAGUGAGAUCUGUGAGUGAUUGAAAGGUGAUAUUUAAAAACUUGGAUUUCAUUCCAGUGUCAGGUUUGGGUUUUAAGUUCCUUUGGUCCAGGGAAGGGUCCAAGCAGCCACAGUUGCCCUAAAUCUCCAUCAUUAAGUCUUCCAGCAAGGUUAAGUGCAGUAUGGAAGGAGAAGGGGGAAGAGGACGGUAACGGCCCCACACUCCAGGCUGAGAAAGAGUAAUUAGGAGGCCUGAGGAGGGGCCGAGGAAAGGCUGUUGGGGUGUGCUGGGGUUGGUACCCGAGCGCCUUCCCCUCACCUCAACCAGAGAAGAGCAUCCGGUUGCUUUUUAAAGCUUUUAGCCUGCCCUAGCAAGGACAAAGCAUGUUAGAUUAGAGAUGCUUCUGCUGAUCGCAGGGGUUCUUAUUUGAAAACAUCUAUGAUGGGGGUGGGGUGGGAGGAGACAGGUUGUGGUUAUGCAGGAAAAUCUUGUCCUAAAAAUAUAUGAGUUUGGGGGUAAGGGGUGGGAUAGCCAAGCAAAAUCAGUAAUUAUUUUAAAAUGAACAUAUGUAUUUUUAUUAACUUUUAGUUAAAUACAGAUUUUACAACGAGGUCAGCAUAAGCCUAAAUCUAUAUAGAGGGCUAACUCAGGCAUUGUCUUGUUUAUUUGUAGACUGGAUUAAAAACAACCUGUCCUGUUUUGUCAGUUCCCAGCUUCUUCGUUUAGAAUAAAUUAGACCAAAAGAAGAAACGUGCUUGUCUCUGUAUACCCGCAGAAUGAAGUUACUGUUGUUAAAACUGGAUUUUUUCAUUUUACUAGGUUCCGAAGAGUCCAGAUGCUUGGUAGAUGUUCAAUACGUGAUUUUUUUUUUAAUUGAAUGUGUUCAUUUAAAAUCCUCCUUAACAUUUCUAGAAAGACUUCUUUCAAUAAAUAAUGGAAUCUUAGAGGAAAAGUGGUUUUUUAAAAGCUAGGGAACUCCUCCACUAAAAGUAACCAUUGGAAACCUCGAAUGAGGGCUAAAGUUUUAAUCAUAAGAGAAAAGGCAGCAUAAUGAAAUGUGUACACAUACAUAGUCAGUGGUCCAUUUUAGGAAGCCAGUGGCGUCUGAUAAAGAAAUGUUAAGAGUAGUGAGGUUGAGGAAGGAAAUUGUGGGGAUUUGAAAUAUUCUCUUUAUGUUGUUUCUCUUCUGAGUCAUGGUAAAACAAUAAAUUAUCAUCUCUAGGUGGCA
Molecule: RNA transcript, 9653 nt
Organism: Homo sapiens (human)
Lineage: Eukaryota; Metazoa; Chordata; Mammalia; Primates; Hominidae
Gene: ZKSCAN1
Gene name: zinc finger with KRAB and SCAN domains 1
Exons: 7
Source: RefSeq, marked reviewed